Molecule: long non-coding RNA, 726 nt
Organism: Corapipo altera (White-ruffed manakin)
Lineage: Eukaryota; Metazoa; Chordata; Aves; Passeriformes; Pipridae
Exons: 3
Source: RefSeq, a predicted model, not a curated record
GUUGUGCAUGUCCGCCAGUGCCUGUGGACUUGGCAGCUGGACUUGAGGGCUGACUGGCACCUUGACUAACAGGCCAGCAGGAAGAGUCAGUUCAGUAUCCCUUUUUUUUUUUACACUGUUCCAUAUUGCUCCUCCUAGAACAUUUGACUGCCUGAUACCUUUGGCAAGCACAUUGUUGAUUCUUCCUGUGAUUUUUACCCAUUAGUUACUGUGAGUGGGUCUUUGAGAGGGCCUUGAAAGCUGUAUCAUGAGACUUUUCAUCUUGCCAUUCUUUGAGUUCAGUUUGUGUGGUAAGGAUUAGUGAAGAGAUAUGGGUCUUCAUCUGAUUCUUGACUUCUCCCAUCUCAUCUGUUUCCUAUGAUCAGGUGAUUGGUAGUUGGUCCAUUUCACCCUCAGGACUUACAGAGGCUGAAGUAUUCUUAGGGGGUAGAGCUUAAAGAAGAAACUUGUAGCCUGGGAAAUCCACCAGAAGAAUUAAAUGUAUUCAUUUCAGCUUCUGUGCUACAGGGUAUGUUUCCAUCCUCCAUUAUAAAGGUCUGACCUUGGAGCAUUAUUAUUUUAUCCCCAUUACUUCCCUGAUACUUCUGGAUGCUGUACCAGCAGUGAUAGCAACCAAUGCUUUGUCUACCCUCAUCUAGAGUUCUAGCCUUUUUUUUUUGUGGAACUCGUGGUUAUGGUCUAGAUCUUCCUUUUCCAAAUGGAUAUUUAUUUUGGAGAUCAGAAGAG